CCAAUAGCGUAUAUUAAAGUUGUUGCAGUUAAAAAGCUCGUAGUUGAAUUUCGGGGUCAGUAGGUUGGUCAUGCCACUGGUAUGUACUGGUCUCACUGAUUCCUCCUUCCUGAUGAGCCGUAAUGCCAUUAAUUUGGUGUUGCGAGGAAUCUGGACUGUUACUUUGAAAAAAUUAGAGUGUUUAAAGCAAGCUAACGCUUGAAUACAUUAGCAUGGAAUAAUGAAAUAGGACGUUCGAUCUUAUUUUGUUGGUUUCUAAGAUUGACGUAAUGAUUAAUAGGGAUAGUUGGGGGCAUUAGUAUUCAAUUGUCAGAGGUGAAAUUCUUGGAUUUAUUGAAGACUAACUACUGCGAAAGCAUUUGCCAAGGAUGUUUUCAUUAAUCAAGAACGAAAGUUAGGGGAUCGAAGACGAUCAGAUACCGUCGUAGUCUUAAGCAUAAACUAUGCCGACUAGGGAUCGGAUGAUGUUAAUUUUUUAAUGACUCAUUCGGCGCCUUACG
RNAcentral lists this ribosomal RNA (500 nucleotides) under uncultured Glomeromycotina. RNAcentral describes it as "partial small subunit ribosomal RNA". It matches the Rfam family "Eukaryotic small subunit ribosomal RNA", at positions 591 to 1092 of the family's 1831-position model. The record is from RNAcentral. Lineage: Eukaryota; Fungi; Glomeromycota.